GUCUCAUUGGUCUAGUGGUAUGAUUCUUGCUUCGGGUGUAAGGGGCCCCGGGUUCAAAUCCCGGAUGAGCCCCUACA
Molecule: transfer RNA, 77 nt
Filed under: Daphnia pulex (common water flea)
Lineage: Eukaryota; Metazoa; Arthropoda; Branchiopoda; Diplostraca; Daphniidae
Description: tRNA-Pro
Rfam family: tRNA
About the family: Transfer RNA (tRNA) molecules are approximately 80 nucleotides in length. Their secondary structure includes four short double-helical elements and three loops (D, anti-codon, and T loops).
Source: RNAcentral